This 72-nucleotide transfer RNA is filed under the name Phrynosoma platyrhinos (Desert horned lizard). RNAcentral describes it as "tRNA-OTHER". It matches the Rfam family "tRNA". From Rfam's summary of the family: Transfer RNA (tRNA) molecules are approximately 80 nucleotides in length. Their secondary structure includes four short double-helical elements and three loops (D, anti-codon, and T loops). The record is from RNAcentral. Lineage: Eukaryota; Metazoa; Chordata; Lepidosauria; Squamata; Phrynosomatidae.
GCCAGUGUAGUGUAGUGGUUUGAGCACUGGGUUGUGACUCUGGAGACCAGGGUUUGAGUCCCUGCUCAGCCU